This 561-nucleotide long non-coding RNA is filed under the name Fukomys damarensis (Damara mole-rat). RNAcentral's name for it is "lncRNA (ENSFDAG00000026766.1)". The record is from RNAcentral. Lineage: Eukaryota; Metazoa; Chordata; Mammalia; Rodentia; Bathyergidae.
UCUUUAUUGAAGUUUCUCCACCUGGUGAAUCCAAGCCUCCUAAGCUGUGACUUUAGCCCCAGCGUUUCACAGAACAAAGGUCAUUCCCUCCCCAGGAAGCAUCGUGAGGACAACUCUUAAAGAAAAUUAAAACGUUUAUUCAGGUUGCUUUAUUUCUUCAGUACUUGGCACUCAGAAUAACAGAUAAUUUGAACAACAGCUGUAAUCUGCUGAGAUCUACUACGUGCCAGGACCAACGUGAAGGUAGAGCAAGCUCCUGUGACAGGAGGCGGGGCAAUGACGAGUGGCUGAAGGAAUGCAGGGAUUUGUUCCUCUCUAGCUCAAGAGAGAAAGGCUCAGGCCAUACACAGAGAAAGGAGAGCGAUGAAAACCUCCUGAGAAGGGUUAUGGAAGACGUCACUGAGGUCCAGUGCGCCACGCCACUUCUCCAGGUAGCCGAGGCCUUGGUGUCAGACUCAUCUACUCGACGCAGACUUUUUUGGAUCUAGUGAGUCUCCUUUGAGAUCGUUUGGACCGGCAGAGCGUGAAAGUAUACACCUUAUGAACCCACAUACAACGGCU